UCAGCAGCAUAAAUGAUUUUU
RNAcentral lists this non-coding RNA (21 nucleotides) under Caenorhabditis elegans. The record is from RNAcentral. Lineage: Eukaryota; Metazoa; Nematoda; Chromadorea; Rhabditida; Rhabditidae.